This is a non-coding RNA of Podarcis lilfordi (Lilford's wall lizard), 74 nucleotides long. NCBI's taxonomy places the organism in Eukaryota, Metazoa, Chordata, Lepidosauria, Squamata, Lacertidae. The record is from the annotation of a GenBank genome assembly.
CCCCAGAUAGCUCAGUUGGUAGAGCAUGAGACUCUUAAUCUCAAGGUCAUGGGUUCGAGCCCCAUGUUGGGUGA